RNAcentral lists this ribosomal RNA (274 nucleotides) under uncultured bacterium. RNAcentral describes it as "partial 16S ribosomal RNA". It matches the Rfam family "Bacterial small subunit ribosomal RNA", at positions 523 to 796 of the family's 1533-position model. The record is from RNAcentral.
AUACGGAGGGGGUUAGCGUUGUUCGGAAUUACUGGGCGUAAAGCGUACGUAGGCGGAUUGGAAAGUAUGGGGUGAAAUCCCAGGGCUCAACCCUGGAACUGCCUCAUAAACUCCCAGUCUAGAGUUCGAGAGAGGUGAGUGGAAUUCCGAGUGUAGAGGUGAAAUUCGUAGAUAUUCGGAGGAACACCAGUGGCGAAGGCGGCUCACUGGCUCGAUACUGACGCUGAGGUACGAAAGUGUGGGGAGCAAACAGGAUUAGAUACCCCAGUAGUCC